This 22-nucleotide microRNA is filed under the name Cordylochernes scorpioides. The record is from RNAcentral. Lineage: Eukaryota; Metazoa; Arthropoda; Arachnida; Pseudoscorpiones; Chernetidae.
GCUGUGUCCUAUCUUGCCACUU